Molecule: ribosomal RNA, 3963 nt
Filed under: Triticum aestivum (bread wheat)
Lineage: Eukaryota; Viridiplantae; Streptophyta; Magnoliopsida; Poales; Poaceae
Description: partial small subunit ribosomal RNA
Source: RNAcentral
UCGACGACAACUCAACGACUUGGGUAAAAGAGACAUAGGUCCGCUCCCUCUUGUCACUUCCGUUUUAAGUCAUAGUCAUUACCAGACUAGUUAGUUCUCCGUCCUCCACCACACCUCUACCGCCUUAAUCAGCACCGACGGUUGGACCGACCGUCACACCGGUCGUCCUUACGGGGAUUCGAGACCCUAAUGAACCAUGUUUUAGCGUUCGACGCCCGUCUCGACUUCGUACUGUAGUCAAUGUAGUCUUCGCUCAGGAACUACUAAAGACGACGGUAAGUUGUUCUACCACUAGCAGGUGGCACCUCGUCGUUGGGGCACGUAUUCCAGACCUAGUGAUACCACGCACUGAACCGCAUACUAUAGCUUCUGACGUAGCUGGCGAAGUGCGUGGCGCACUGUGAGUUCGGACUACACAGUACCUAGCAAUUCUUUAAAGUGGCCUACUUCUGCUCCUCACGGGCAUUGUUCAAACGACGUCGUUAGGCAGCAGAGUCCUUCUUUAGGCUCCUGCGUAGGUUCGACUCUUGUUCGAUGUCGUGGUCACUCAUACCGCCGCCUAGGUCGUGGGACCUCAGUCUCUGUGGUAGACUACUGUGCCUGUGGAGCCACCGGCGGCACCCAUACCUACACGGGGUGCUGCUCGAGUACCUCGACUAUUCCCUUUGCGGCGUUCCGGUUGUUGGGUACCUCGAGUUCCACUAGAGGGAACAACCCAAGCCACCGUAUCCCUUCUGAGAGGAGUGGUUCGUACACAUGUUGUGUUGACUCUCGCUUAUGUUUCGUGCCCGAACCCAAACACGACGUCUCUUUCCGAGUUCUCUACAAGAGUUCCUCUAUGAGACCGUUGAACCUUACGUAAGGUGGUAAUCAUCAUCAUCACCUUCACGUCCGUUGGGGACGGCAGAGUCGUUAUUGUACGAGACACGUUCGGAUUCUCUCACGGAACCCUGGUUCUCCAAAAAUUAACAUUAACUACUGUACGCCUCUCUGAAAACCCAACUAUAUUUUCUACGAAAGGGACACCAAGGGCCCCAGUUGUCAUCUCAAUAACAGUGUUGUCGGUGAGUCUGGUAUCGUUAGUUUUCGUCGACAGCACUACCAGUACACAUGUAUUACUCUUGAGAACGACUCGUUGUGAGCUUUGUUAACAAGAAACUCUUUCGAAGGAACCACAUAGGUGGUUGUCAGGCACUAUGCCUCGAUUCAAGUCUUCAUUAUUCCUUUACACUACCAGACGGGGAACGAGAAUAAUGGUGUCGUGCCAACAACGUGCCACUAGUGUCUGCCGCUGUUACCCGUCUAGACCCUUUAUUGGAACCGUCGGUAGACCUCUGUGUAGUAUACAAUCGUUUAUACUUCGCACACGAGCAGGCAUCGAUGUGGUUGGAUUCGUUCGUUCUAUAGUUCUAGACGAACGAAAUAGAACCAUAAAUGGGUUCACCAGCGGGUUAGUCCUCUCCUUCGGACUAUUCCGCUACCAGUCGGCUUCCAAAGUAGUGUCGUCUCGGAUUUGCGUCACGGGAACUCCAACGACAACGGUCAAAGUUACUCGACCAGCUGUUCUCGUAGUAGGUCGGAUAACUACGGUCGCCGUUGCCGUCACGUCUCCACUUCUGUACGUUUGGAGUGUCAUAUUACGAACUCAAGUAAGACGUGUCUAGGUACAGGCUCUUGAAACAAUGGAACAAUAUACUAUUCCUAGGGGGUGGACCCUCAUUUUAAGCAACCUAAAGAGACGUCGUAUUUUGACUACGUUCUAGGUUUUACCUAGGUUUCCUAGAUUCAGAACAGGCAAGAGACUGUUAGAAACCACUUCGCGUGUUAAGUUACAACCUGAAAAGGUUCAUGUUUGACUAAUCUCAAAACCUAAAUCUUCUCACGCUACUUGUGAACCCUCUGUUCGUAGAGUUCCUCUAUACGUCGUUGUACAGCGACGAGUCCAUGGAUUCGGAGUCUCCACGAUGAUCUCAAUGUCAAUAAGGUUUUGUCUAGUUCUUCGAAGUUGAAAACCUUUGUGACCUAAAUUCUCCUUGGUCAUAUCUCUAAGACUGGUAUCUUCAGUACCUUAACGGUAUAAAUUAAGUAGACAAACCUUUCAAGUUCGAGGUUGUUCUACAUCCUUCGGCCUCUUACUCAUUCGAUGUCUGAACCGACAGUCUCUCUUCAUUUAACCUUUGAAAUCGGCCUAAACAACACCUGUUGUUAUCGGUUCCUAAGUGUGUCUAGUACCUCGUAUACUUCGUGAACUGGUUCCACUUUUAUACCACGCUCAAGUGGCGUGUACUGUCGUCGUUGAGUUCUGUGGAGAGUUUCAGUUAGUUCCCCAAGUAGGUCUCGCCGUGGCUAGACUUGUUUCGAGUAAGUGAGAGUGACUUGUGGUUACUACUUACCACAGGUCUGAACAACCUAAAGAGGAACCUCUUCCUAAUGAGGAUGAUGGAAUCGAGUGAGUUCGAUGUUCCCUUGUGGUAUACAUCAGUCGACGGAGACAAACAAUGGUACGACCCACCAGAGUGAUUCGACACGGACAGUAAGGAACCACUAGUAUUCGACUCACCAUUGUAAGAACUACGGGACUCGUCUCACGCGCCGGACCUCAUGGACUUCGACUAACGUUGAGUUGACCUGUUCGAGCCGUAGUCCGUUCCGGUACGUGAGUCUUCGGACGCUGUGGAUACACAGCACCGUCUUCAGCGUUGGCUCGACCUUUAUGUUCUCCCUCGAGACGGAGCGGAGCUCAAGGAGGCCGACGAUACAUUCCUAUAUUUACCGAAAUCGGCGUGUUAGGUCAGGGACGGUGCAGAAUUUCUCCAGCGGGAUGGACUACGUCACUCACUACUUUGUUUUGUCCUCACCUUUCCUCGUUUUUUCUUGGUGGGGUCUGCAGGGUUCGAGAACAAACAACUCUGAUUCGGCUACCCUUCACUCAGACGACGCCUUUAAUAGGGACGUCUUUGUUGAUGACUAUGUUGUCAGCUUCUCCAACUACACCUCUCCCUUGGACGUCGUCGUCGAUGACUAUGCUGCAAUAGUCACUGUUGCGACGGGUUACACUGGUGAUUUCUCUGACCACAAUGAAGACCCUACCAACUACUAGUCCUUGAUUACUUUUCGCUCGGACGACGUCUUCGAUCGGGACGUCGUUAUCGAUGACUAUGCUGCCGGCUGCUCCAACUACAGUUUUCACGUGGACGCCUCUUAAAACUCUCGGGACACGGUAGUGGAUGACUACGGUAAAGAUGACAUGUUCAACUACCACCAGUUGUACUACUACUUGUUCCUUUUAUAAAACGAUUGUGGUUCCUACAUUUUAUAAAACGAUUCUUUGUACCAGACUCGCAAGUCCACUGUCUAGCCUACUUGUUCCCUUCAAGAUUUCUCCUCUACCUUCCUUACCGCCCAAAUCUCCCAGUCGUCUACCUUCUGCGGUGGUUCUUGGUUCCGGAUGCUUUGUUUGUCGCAGACGCCUGCUCCAACAGUAGCGACCACCGUUAACCACAGAAAGCGGUUUCUUCAGCUGUCCCCUACAACCACGGAACUGAUCCAAUUAGAACGAGUCCUGUCCCGACCUCAUACGAAACUCAUAGUCCACGACCCACACGGUCUGUUCAUGCCUAUACUCCUCAGCAGAGGACUUCAACUACUUCACCAAGAGUAUUCAAACAGGACUUACGUGUACUUAAGGAUAAACCACCUAAAGACGACAGGACACUGUCUCAGGUGGUACAUACAAUAGCCUGUAUAUAGAGCAGGUUUACGUAUUUAUCUUUCGGGUAUUCCUUGUUUUCUUGGACUUGGAUUCAAGUAAAGCCUGGACUUGGACUUGGAUCCAAGUAAACCACCGAAAGACUAUUCAAGUAAACCUUGCUCAUUGAUGGUGUCUAGUGUACAUACAGGGCAAACUAACAUGUACUUUUGACAGUAUUCAAUGUACGAAUAGUAGGAAUAAAAACAACACGA